Molecule: long non-coding RNA, 2643 nt
Organism: Onychostoma macrolepis
Lineage: Eukaryota; Metazoa; Chordata; Actinopteri; Cypriniformes; Cyprinidae
Exons: 3
Source: RefSeq, a predicted model, not a curated record
CACUGCAAAAAAAUAAGCUUUUCUUUUCUUUUGUCUUGUUUCCAGCCCCUAAAAAUUCUUAAAUCAAGAAGGAUUUUCUAGACAAGUAAAAAUUAUUGUCUUGUUUUCAGAAAGAAACAAGUCAAAAUGAAGUGAGUUUUUGCUAAGAACAAGCAAAAUAAUCCGCCGAAGGGGUAAACAAGAUAAUCUUAUUUCAAACAGAAAACAAGAUUAUUUUGCUUACCCCAUUGGCACUAGCAACAAAUUCCAGCACUAAUUGCUAGUGGAAGAAAGCAAAACCAAUACUAAAGAUUGGAAACCUUUAAGAAUUAGUCAUUGAAAAAUUUGGGGAAAAAAAAGUUUGUAUGUACAGUAUAGAGUGGACUGGAAGCAUUGUGGAAGACAGAGGGGGACUAACCAGGACUCGAACUUGGUGUGUCAGUUCAAAGCUUUUUUAAUUUUAAUUUUUAUUGUUAUCCUUUGAAAAAUAGUAAAUAUUUCUCUCAUAUUUUCAAAUCCAUGCUUCUUGAAUACAGUGUAUGUAUAGCAUAUGCAACCACAUAAUAAUCCUGUUUCCAGGUUCACAUUCUACUAUAAUAUAUGUAUAUAAUAUUUACAUGCAGCUGAUGAAAUUAGGCAAAGAAUCCACUAAGCAGUGGCCAACAGGUCUCAGACCAUCACAAAGAAAUAUGUUGGGAAACAGAUUUACAACCAUCAAGGUCAGCAAGCUCAAAGUGAUGUCGUACCUCUUUCCAUGUCCUAAUUAAUCACUAGAGUGACCUUAACUCUGUAGCUCAUACACACACAGUUGAAUGAAUUACACUUUGAUUAAGGUUUGCCACAGUUACGUCCUCGCCAACGACCCUGGGUCUCAUGCUUACAGUGUAUUUGAUUGUCUUUCGCGUUUUACCUUACUACUAUGUUUUUAGUAGCCUAUAGUUUUCAAAAGAGGAAAUAUGAAAGGCUUUCAGUUAUUUUUGAAAAGAUACAUUAUAUUCUAUUUUGUGUCUUUUGCAGAAACGGAUUGCACUAGGGUGAUAUAUUAGCAGAGUAAAUACAGUUAUAAAUAAUGGAAAAUUUAGAGUAGGAAAAAAUGUCACUUAUUUUCAAUACGAUGAAGCACGCUGUGUGAUUAAGAAAUUAUAUUUCUUAUGUAAUCUAAUUAAGAAUAUUUCCUAUGCUGGAUUUAGAUGGAGCCCCUGGGAGCAACUAAAACACAAAUGGUGUGAAACUGGCAAUGGCAUUCAGCUGUUAGCUGAUUACAUUGAUUCCAUUUAUUUGUGACCGUUUUCCAGUCACUUCACUCCUGAAGUGUAGGGCAAAUCACCUUAUAUUCUGCAGAGAUGAGUAACAGGAGAACCACCCACGAAGCGCCACCAGCUCCUGAUGUUGCGACCAUUUUUUCCGGAGCAACAGAUGUUUGUAGCAGCUCCUCCGGACUAAUUAUCCAUCCCGGUCAUCCUCUUUGUGUAGUACGUGCACGUGUGUGUGUUCAACUUUCUGUUAUGCUUUAACUCCACAACGGUAGGAUUUAGCAGUAAUUAUCCCGAAACACACCCCUCUUGCCUCUGCCAUUGUCUUGAUGUCUGGGCAACACAGCCGUCAUUAAUCAAGCGAUUCAACGCAGGCCUGAACUGGUUAACCUGCACCGCCCAGCCCUGGUUACUGAGGAAGUUUUCAAUUCCCUCUGGUCAAUCACAAGGACACAAGAGUGCAACAAUGGGUUGGCUAUGAAUGGAAAUUAAAAUAAGAUGCAACUAUUCAGUGGAUUCCAGCAAUGCAACGUUAAGUUUUGGUAGGUCCGAACAAAGCAUUAAAUUUGCUGAGUAGGAAGGCUGGAAUUGGAAAUUAGACAUCACGGAGUUAUUUCCUUAGCUUUAAUACUGAAACACAAUCACAGCACAUUGCUAUUUUUUACCACUGACCUAGAGCAAGAGGUCAGACAGUUACGAAAGGGGCAGCCCAUGUCACCAUGUUGCAUUUGUGUAUGAAUAGCUGUCCAUUCAAUGACUCUUUUACAGUCUCUUGAAUACAAGUGUUGGCUCCCUUCUCGACAGUCAGAAUGCAGAGUGCAUGCACUUUUGGCAGGCUUGUUAGGCAUCUGUGGUCUCCUUUUUUAGAAAGAGGACAUUUGUUUGUAGAUCUACUUAUGGUACCAUUUCACUUCUCUUCUCUUAUCUAUAUCUUAUUACUUAAAAAAAUUAGGUUGCAUAUAUUAAGUUGAAUGCAUUUCAUUUUUAUCACACAUUUUAAACAAUGUGACAUUUUGUUCAGUCAUAAAAGCACAUUUAGCAGCACUAACCACUUGAGGUCUUUUGUGCCACGUAUGCGCAACAUUGCACACAUUCAGAUGCGAUUCUGGCCCAUUCUUCCAGUCAGUCAGUCAAUUUUCAAAUAGUAUCUCAGUUUCAGAAACUUGCUCAUAUGUUUUUUUCAAAACUCCAGUUGAGUUUUCUUUUGAGGCUUCUUGUGUCACUCUUUCAAUCAGGCCAGUUCUUUGAACAUUUUUAGGCACUUAAUUCACUCAAUUUAGUCACUAAAUUUAGGCACUUCAUUUAGAUAUUAAUAUUAUUUUUGUAACAUGCUUUGUAACAAAUUGUUUUAAAUUGAAACUGUUCAAAAUCAAUCUUUUUUAUUUUAAAUGCAGUUUUAUUUUCAUAGCUG